CAAUUGCGAAGGCAGGUUACUAAGCAACAACUGACGNUGAUGGACGAAAGCGUGGGGAGCGAACAGGAUUAGAUACCCUGGUAGUCCACGCCGUAAACGAUGCUAACUCGUUUUUGGGUUUUCGGAUUCAGAGAUUAAGCGAAAGUGAUAAGUUAGCCACCUGGGGAGUACGUUCGCAAGAAUGAAACUCAAAGGAAUUGACGGGGGCCCGCACAAGCGGUGGAUUAUGUGGUUUAAUUCGAUGAUACGCGAGGAACCUUCCCAAGGCUUAAAUGGGAAAUGACCGGUUUAGAAAUAGACCUUUCGCAAGACAUUUUUCAAGGUGCUGCAUGGUUGUCGUCAGCUCGUGCCGUGAGGUGUUAGGUUAAGUCCUGCAACGAGCGCAACCCCUGUCACUAGUUGCCAUCAUUCAGUUGGGGACUCUAGUGAGACUGCGUACGCAAGUAGAGAGGAAGGUGGGGAUGACGUCAAAUCAUCACGGCCCUUACGCCUUGGGCCACACACGUAAUACAAUGGCCGGUACAGAGGGCAGCUACACAGCGAUGUGAUGCAAAUCCCGAAACCCGGUCUCAGUCCGGAUUGGAGUCUGCAACNCAGUC
This 599-nucleotide ribosomal RNA is filed under the name Chryseobacterium sp. RNAcentral's name for it is "bacterial SSU rRNA". It matches the Rfam family "Bacterial small subunit ribosomal RNA", at positions 708 to 1316 of the family's 1533-position model. The record is from RNAcentral. Lineage: Bacteria; Pseudomonadati; Bacteroidota; Flavobacteriia; Flavobacteriales; Weeksellaceae.